RNAcentral lists this ribosomal RNA (473 nucleotides) under Bacillus aerius. RNAcentral describes it as "bacterial SSU rRNA". It matches the Rfam family "Bacterial small subunit ribosomal RNA", at positions 49 to 504 of the family's 1533-position model. Lineage: Bacteria; Bacillati; Bacillota; Bacilli; Caryophanales; Bacillaceae. The record is from RNAcentral.
CUAUACAUGCAGUCGAGCGGACCGACGGGAGCUUGCUCCCUUAGGUCAGCGGCGGACGGGUGAGUAACACGUGGGUAACCUGCCUGUAAGACUGGGAUAACUCCGGGAAACCGGGGCUAAUACCGGAUGCUUGAUUGAACCGCAUGGUUCAAUCAUAAAAGGUGGCUUUUAGCUACCACUUGCAGAUGGACCCGCGGCGCAUUAGCUAGUUGGUGAGGUAACGGCUCACCAAGGCGACGAUGCGUAGCCGACCUGAGAGGGUGAUCGGCCACACUGGGACUGAAACACGGCCCAGACUCCUACGGGAGGCAGCAGUAGGGAAUCUUCCGCAAUGGACGAAAGUCUGACGGAACAACGCCGCGUGAGUGAUGAAGGUUUUCGGAUCGUAAAACUCUGUUGUUAGGGAAGAACAAGUACCGUUCGAAUAGGGCGGUACCUUGACGGUACCUAACCAGAAAGCCACGGCUAACUAC